ACUGGAUACACUCAAUGUGGAUCAUGGAGGAGAAUCCAGGAUUACAGCAGGACUAAAGAAAUGUAUGUCUACACACACACACACACACG
Molecule: long non-coding RNA, 89 nt
Organism: Sinocyclocheilus grahami
Lineage: Eukaryota; Metazoa; Chordata; Actinopteri; Cypriniformes; Cyprinidae
Exons: 3
Source: RefSeq, a predicted model, not a curated record